CCCCACUAUGCCCAGCCCUUAACUAUAAUAAUACCACACCAAUUAUUCGCCAGAGAACUACAAGCAAAAUGCUUAAAACUCAAAGGACUUGGCGGCGCUCCAAAUACCCCUAGAGGAGCCUGUCCUAUAAUCGAUACUCCACGAUACACCAAACCAUCUAUGGCCACUCCAGCCUAUAUACCGCCGUCGUCAGCCUACCCCGUGAGGGAUAAAAAGUAGGCAAAAUCGCCCAACACAAAAACGUCAGGUCAAGGUGUAGCUAAUAAGAUGGAAGCUGAUGGGCUACAUUUUCUAUGCUAGAAAACACGAAAAAUAUAAUGAAACUUGUAUUAGAAGGCGGAUUUAGCAGUAAAAUAAAAAAGAUUACUUAUUUUAAACUCACACUG
This 386-nucleotide ribosomal RNA is filed under the name Tetradactylus seps (five-toed whip lizard). RNAcentral's name for it is "partial 12S ribosomal RNA". It matches the Rfam family "Bacterial small subunit ribosomal RNA", at positions 785 to 1376 of the family's 1533-position model. The record is from RNAcentral. Lineage: Eukaryota; Metazoa; Chordata; Lepidosauria; Squamata; Gerrhosauridae.